This 70-nucleotide transfer RNA is filed under the name Pangasius djambal. RNAcentral describes it as "tRNA-Sec". It matches the Rfam family "tRNA". From Rfam's summary of the family: Transfer RNA (tRNA) molecules are approximately 80 nucleotides in length. Their secondary structure includes four short double-helical elements and three loops (D, anti-codon, and T loops). Further hydrogen bonds mediate the characteristic L-shaped molecular structure. tRNAs have two regions of fundamental functional importance: the anti-codon, which is responsible for specific mRNA codon recognition, and the 3' end, to which the tRNAs corresponding amino acid is attached (by aminoacyl-tRNA synthetases). tRNAs cope with the degeneracy of the genetic code in two manners: having more than one tRNA (with a specific anti-codon) for a particular amino acid; and 'wobble' base-pairing, i.e. permitting non-standard base-pairing at the 3rd anti-codon position. Lineage: Eukaryota; Metazoa; Chordata; Actinopteri; Siluriformes; Pangasiidae. The record is from RNAcentral.
UCCUUGGAGGACUAGUAGUUAGGCCACGGCUCUCACCGCCGUGGCCUGGGUUCGAUUCCCGGCCAGGGGA